Molecule: ribosomal RNA, 465 nt
Filed under: uncultured bacterium
Lineage: Bacteria
Description: partial 16S ribosomal RNA
Rfam family: Bacterial small subunit ribosomal RNA
Source: RNAcentral
GACGAACGCUGGCGGCGUGCUUAACACAUGCAAGUCGAACGGAAAGGCCCUGCUUGCAGGGUACUCGAGUGGCGAACGGGUGAGUAACACGUGGGUGAUCUGCCCUGCACUUCGGGAUAAGCCUGGGAAACUGGGUCUAAUACCGGAUAGGAGCCAUUUUUAUUGUGAUGGUUGGAAAGUUUUUUCGGUGUAGGAUGAGCUCGCGGCCUAUCAGCUUGUUGGUGGGGUAAUGGCCUACCAAGGCGGCGACGGGUAGCCGGCCUGGGAGGGUGGACGGCCACAUUGGGACUGAGAUACGGCCCAGACUCCUACGGGAGGCAGCAGUGGGGAAUAUUGCACAAUGGGCGCAAGCCUGAUGCAGCGACGCCGCGGGGGGGAUGACGGCCUUCGGGUUGUAAACUCCUUUCGCUAGGGACGAAGCUUUUUGUGACGGUACCUAGAUAAGAAGCACCGGCUAACUACGUG